RNAcentral lists this signal recognition particle RNA (299 nucleotides) under Aotus nancymaae (Ma's night monkey). Its description in RNAcentral is "Metazoan signal recognition particle RNA (ENSANAG00000007306.1)". It matches the Rfam family "Metazoan signal recognition particle RNA". Rfam says of the family: The signal recognition particle (SRP) is a universally conserved ribonucleoprotein. It is involved in the co-translational targeting of proteins to membranes. The record is from RNAcentral. Lineage: Eukaryota; Metazoa; Chordata; Mammalia; Primates; Aotidae.
GCCAGGCGCGGUGGUGUGUACCUGUAGUCCCACCUACUCGGGAGGCUGAGGGUGGAGGAUCACUUGAGUCCAGGAGUUCUGGUCUGUAGUGCACUGUGCGGAUUGGGUGUCCUCACUAAGUUUGGCAUCAGUAUAGUGACCUCCUAGGAGCAGGAGACCACCAGGUUGCCUAAGGAGGGGUGAGCUGGCCCAGGUCAGAAAUGGAGCAGGUCAAAACUCCCGCGCUGAUCAGUAGUGGGAUUGUGCCUGUGAAUAGCCACUGCACUCCUGCCUGGGCAACAUAGCGAGACCCCAUCUCU